Molecule: ribosomal RNA, 2506 nt
Filed under: Listeria monocytogenes
Lineage: Bacteria; Bacillati; Bacillota; Bacilli; Caryophanales; Listeriaceae
Description: partial 23S ribosomal RNA
Rfam family: Bacterial large subunit ribosomal RNA
Source: RNAcentral
AACACGUGAAAUUCCGUCGGAAUCCGGGAGGACCAUCUCCCAAGGCUAAAUACUCCCUAGUGACCGAUAGUGAACCAGUACCGUGAGGGAAAGGUGAAAAGCACCCCGGAAGGGGAGUGAAACAGUUCCUGAAACCGUGUGCCUACAAGUAGUUAGAGCCCGUUAAUGGGUGAUAGCGUGCCUUUUGUAGAAUGAACCGGCGAGUUACGAUUUGUUGCAAGGUUAAGCGGAAAAAGCGGAGCCGUAGCGAAAGCGAGUCUGAAUAGGGCGCAUAAGUAACAGGUCGUAGACCCGAAACCAGGUGAUCUACCCAUGUCCAGGAUGAAGGUAAGGUAAUACUUACUGGAGGUCCGAACCCACGCACGUUGAAAAGUGCGGGGAUGAGGUGUGGGUAGCGGAGAAAUUCCAAUCGAACUUGGAGAUAGCUGGUUCUCUCCGAAAUAGCUUUAGGGCUAGCCUCGAGGUAAAGAGUCAUGGAGGUAGAGCACUGUUUGGACUAGGGGCCCUUCUCGGGUUACCGAAUUCAGAUAAACUCCGAAUGCCAUGUACUUAUACUCGGGAGUCAGACUGCGAGUGAUAAGAUCCGUAGUCGAAAGGGAAACAGCCCAGACCACCAGUUAAGGUCCCCAAAUAUAUGUUAAGUGGAAAAGGAUGUGGGGUUGCUUAGACAACCAGGAUGUUGGCUUAGAAGCAGCCACCAUUGAAAGAGUGCGUAAUAGCUCACUGGUCGAGUGACCCCGCGCCGAAAAUGUACCGGGGCUAAACAUAUUACCGAAACUGUGGAUGAACCUCUUUAGAGGUUCGUGGUAGGAGAGCGUUCUAAGGGCGGUGAAGUCAGACCGGAAGGACUGGUGGAGCGCUUAGAAGUGAGAAUGCCGGUAUGAGUAGCGAAAGAAGGGUGAGAAUCCCUUCCACCGAAUAUCUAAGGUUUCCUGAGGAAGGCUCGUCCGCUCAGGGUUAGUCGGGACCUAAGCCGAGGCCGAUAGGCGUAGGCGAUGGACAACAGGUAGAGAUUCCUGUACCAGUGCUAAUUGUUUAACCGAUGGGGUGACACAGAAGGAUAGGGAAUCGCACGAAUGGAAAUGUGCGUCCAAGCAGUGAGUGUGAGAAGUAGGCAAAUCCGCUUCUCGCGAAGCAUGAGCUGUGAUGGGGAAGGAAAUUAAGUACGGAAGUUCCUGAUUUCACGCUGUCAAGAAAAGCCUCUAGGAAGAGUAGUACUGCCCGUACCGCAAACCGACACAGGUAGAUGAGGAGAGAAUCCUAAGGUGAGCGAGAGAACUCUCGUUAAGGAACUCGGCAAAAUGACCCCGUAACUUCGGGAGAAGGGGUGCUCUAUUAGGGUGCAAGCCCGAGAGAGCCGCAGUGAAUAGGCCCAGGCGACUGUUUAGCAAAAACACAGGUCUCUGCAAAACCGUAAGGUGACGUAUAGGGGCUGACGCCUGCCCGGUGCUGGAAGGUUAAGAGGAGUGCUUAGCUUCGGCGAAGGUACGAAUUGAAGCCCCAGUAAACGGCGGCCGUAACUAUAACGGUCCUAAGGUAGCGAAAUUCCUUGUCGGGUAAGUUCCGACCCGCACGAAAGGCGCAACGAUCUGGGCACUGUCUCAACGAGAGACUCGGUGAAAUUAUAGUACCUGUGAAGAUGCAGGUUACCCGCGACAGGACGGAAAGACCCCGUGGAGCUUUACUGCAACCUGAUAUGGAAUGUUUGUACCGCUUGUACAGGAUAGGUAGGAGCCGAAGAGACGUGUGCGCUAGCAUACGAGGAGGCAAUGGUGGGAUACUACCCUGGCUGUAUGACCAUUCUAACCCGCCACGCUUAGCGCGUGGGGAGACAGUGUCAGGUGGGCAGUUUGACUGGGGCGGUCGCCUCCUAAAGAGUAACGGAGGCGCCCAAAGGUUCCCUCAGAAUGGAUGGAAAUCAUUCGCAGAGUGUAAAGGCACAAGGGAGCUUGACUGCGAGACUGACAAGUCGAGCAGGGACGAAAGUCGGGCUUAGUGAUCCGGUGGUUCCGCAUGGAAGGGCCAUCGCUCAACGGAUAAAAGCUACCCCGGGGAUAACAGGCUUAUCUCCCCCAAGAGUCCACAUCGACGGGGAGGUUUGGCACCUCGAUGUCGGCUCGUCGCAUCCUGGGGCUGUAGUCGGUCCCAAGGGUUGGGCUGUUCGCCCAUUAAAGCGGCACGCGAGCUGGGUUCAGAACGUCGUGAGACAGUUCGGUCCCUAUCCGUCGCGGGCGCAGGAAAUUUGAGAGGAGCUGUCCUUAGUACGAGAGGACCGGGAUGGACACACCGCUGGUGUACCAGUUGUUCCGCCAGGAGCAUCGCUGGGUAGCUAUGUGUGGCAGGGAUAAACGCUGAAAGCAUCUAAGCGUGAAGCCCCCCUCAAGAUGAGAUUUCCCAUUUCUUCGGAAAGUAAGAUCCCUGAAAGAUGAUCAGGUAGAUAGGUUUGGAGUGGAAGUGUAGCGAUACAUGGAGCGGACAAAUACUAAUCGAUCGAGGACUUAACCAA